RNAcentral lists this ribosomal RNA (425 nucleotides) under uncultured bacterium. RNAcentral describes it as "bacterial SSU rRNA". It matches the Rfam family "Bacterial small subunit ribosomal RNA", at positions 355 to 796 of the family's 1533-position model. The record is from RNAcentral.
UAGGGAAUUUUGCGCAAUGGACGAAAGUCUGACGCAGCAACGCCGCGUGCAGGAAGAAUGCCUUAGGGUUGUAAACUGCUUUUAUGAGGGACGACAUCGACGGUACCUCAUGAAUAAGGAUCGGCUAACUCCGUGCCAGCAGCCGCGGUCAUACGGAGGAUCCGAGCGUUAUCCGGAAUUACUGGGCGUAAAGAGUUGCGUAGGCGGUUAGUUAAGCAAGGUAUAAAAUACUACGGCUCAACCGUAGGCCUAUAUCUUGAACUAACUAACUAGGGCAUAGAAGAGGUAACUGGAAUUGCUAGUGUAGGAGUGAAAUCCGUAGAUAUUAGCAGGAACACCGAUGGCGUAAGCAGGUUACUAGUCUAUUGCCGACGCUGAGGCACGAAAGCGUGGGGAGCGAACGGGAUUAGAUACCCGCGUAGUCC